AUGCAACAAAUCAGAAAGAAACACACCACUCCACACACUAUCAAUAGACUAGGUUAUGCGAGACUCGAGGCUAAAAUGGAACGGAAAACAAAAGAAGAGAUUGAUAUAGUCGAAAUUUGGACAACGGGUGACAAACAGAAGGAAGGAAAGUAACCUAUUCCUGGUGUUGUGGAGGCUUUGGAAAAGAUUCAAAGAGCAACAGAAGAGCAUGGUGUUGAUGUUGGAUCAUCUGUGACAUAUGAUCUUCUUGCCAAAGCUCUUGGUGACGACAAACCAGGGAAACUGAGAGAAAUUGGGUAUGGAGCGACAAGGACAAAGA
Papaver somniferum (opium poppy) is the source of this 319-nucleotide long non-coding RNA. RefSeq lists it as uncharacterized. Lineage: Eukaryota; Viridiplantae; Streptophyta; Magnoliopsida; Ranunculales; Papaveraceae. The transcript has 3 exons. The record is from RefSeq and is a predicted model, not a curated record.